RNAcentral lists this ribosomal RNA (742 nucleotides) under uncultured Glomus. Its description in RNAcentral is "partial 28S ribosomal RNA". Lineage: Eukaryota; Fungi; Glomeromycota; Glomeromycetes; Glomerales; Glomeraceae. The record is from RNAcentral.
UACGUCAACAUCCUUAACGAAUUUGCUCACACUCUAGCCUGUUCAAAGGCGAAUCCUAACAAAGUCAGCAAGCUGUCGUCGCCAGGAUACCAAAGAGAGGCCAGGUGGAACAGCCCUAAAGGUAUUCGUUGCAAUCCUCAAUCCCGACCACCACAUUCCGCUAAAGGUUAUAACACUCCCGAAGGAGCCACAUCCCUCCAGCCUUUUAUGACGUUCGAAAUUGAUGUUAACCAGCGGACACGAAAGUGCUCCCACUCAUCGUGAUAUCACACGCCGUGGCGGUUUUGAGGCUCGCCACAACAGUGAUCUCCCGACGAGGGGGUUGAUUUCGCGCCAGCACGACUGACUUCAAUCGUUUCCCUUUCAACAAUUUCACGUACUGUUUAACUCUCUUUUCAAAGUUCUUUUCAUCUUUCCCUCACGGUACUUGUUCGCUAUCGGUCUCUCGCCAAUAUUUAGCCUUAGGUGAUGUUUACCACCCAUUUGGAGCUGCAAUCCCAAACAACUCGACUCUUUGAAAGCGUAUCGUAGAUGAACGCACGACCGGUCACGGACGGGAUUGUCACCCUCUAUGAUGUCCUGUUCCAAAGAACUUCUACCGGCCGCGAGCCCAAGAAAACGCUUCUUCAAAUUACAACUCGACCUUGGAACAAGGCAGAUUUAAAAUUUGAGCUCUUCCCUCUUCACUCGCCGUUACUAGGGGAAUCCUUGUUAGUUUCUUUUCCUCCGCUUAUUGAUAUCG